This 90-nucleotide transfer RNA is filed under the name Rickettsiales bacterium. RNAcentral describes it as "tRNA-Ser". It matches the Rfam family "tRNA". From Rfam's summary of the family: Transfer RNA (tRNA) molecules are approximately 80 nucleotides in length. Their secondary structure includes four short double-helical elements and three loops (D, anti-codon, and T loops). The record is from RNAcentral. Lineage: Bacteria; Pseudomonadati; Pseudomonadota; Alphaproteobacteria; Rickettsiales.
GGACAGGUGGCAGAGUGGUUGAAUGUACCUGACUCGAAAUCAGGCAUACUCGCAAGGGUAUCGCGGGUUCAAAUCCCGCCCCGUCCGCCA